AACGUCAUUUCCGGUCACAACUUGCAGGCUUGUUUUCGAGUUGCUGUGCGUUUUGUUGCCAACCUAUUUUGCGACCUGACAACUUUACGGUUUUCACUUUUUAAUUACCGUUCAUAUAUUUAUUUAUUUUUUCCUCAACUUUUUCACUCCGGACGCUUUAUCUGGACACGAUUCGUCAGGACCUCCAACAGCCGAAGCUAAGUAGUAACAUUAACAUGAUGCCUUCUAAUUGUAAUCGCCUUACGGCGAGGAUAGCUAUGCUACAAGCCCAGCUUCAGACGCAAUCGUUAGGCAAGGGUAAUUUCAGUGUAGGAAAGGAUGAAACCGCGUCUGUGCCACCAGUAAGUACAGAUAGUAGUAUAAAUCCCCUGGCAUAGUCCCCGCAGCCGGACAACUUUCUCACGGUUUCUGGAAGGAAAUGCUGUAGGAAAGCUCAACCGGUGUCGCUCAUUCAGCCGACAGAAACUUUCAACCGGUUUUCCCCAUUAAGCAGGUCUUCUCUGGUCUACUCCUCCCGUUACGGGGUCUGAGACGCCGAAGCUUCCCACCAUUAGCUCUGACAAAUUGAAAACUCUGAAAAAUCAGUUAACCCCCUAACUGAGGAUCUCAAUUUAAUCUUGCGCAAUACCCUAGAUGCAGUUGCACCCCUAAAAACUAAAAACAUUUAUCAUAAGAAACUAGCUCCCUGGUACACAGAAAAUACCCGAGCUCUGCAGCAAGCUUCCAGAAAAUUGGAACGGAAAUGGCGCCACACCAAACUGGAAGUCUUCCGACUAGCUUGGAAAGACGGUACCGUGCAGUACCGAAUAAGAACAAUCCGAAAUUCCUUUUUGAUACUGUCGCAAAGCUAACUAAAAAGCAGCAUUCCCCAAGAGAGGAUGACUUUCACUUUAGCAGUGAUAAAUUCAUGAACUUCUUUGAGGAAAAUAUUAUGAUUAUUAGAAAGCAAAUUACGGACUCCUCUUUAAACCUGCGUAUUCCUCCAAACCUCAGUUGUCCUGAGUCUGCACAACUCUGCCAGGACCUAGGAUAAAGAGAGACGCUCAAGUGUUUUAGUACUAUAUCUCUUGACACAAUGAUGAAAAUAAUCAUGGCCUCUAAACCUUCAAGCUGCAUACUGGACCCUAUUCCAACUAAACUACUGAAAGAGCCUCUCUACACUGGCUUCCUGUCAAAGCAAGGGCUGAUUUCAAGGUUUUACUGCUAACCUACAAAGCAUUACAUGGGCUUGCUCCUACCUAUCUCUCUGAUUUGGUCCUGCCGUACAUACCUACACGUACGCUACGGUCACAAGACGCAGGCCUCCUAAUUGUCCCUAGAAUUUCUAAGCAAACAGCUGGAGGCAGGGCUUUCUCCUAUAGAGCUCCAUUUUUAUGGAACGGUCUGCCUACCCAUGUCAGAGACGCAAACUCGGUCUCAACCUUUAAGUCUUUACUGAAGACUCAUCUCUUCAGUGGACGGAAAGGCUCUGGAGCAACGAACCGCCCUUGCUGUCUCUGCCUGGCCGGUUCCCCUCUUUCCACUGGGAUUCUCUGCCUCUAACCCUAUUACAGGGGCUGAGUCACUGGCUUACUGGGGCUCUCUCAUGCCGUCCCUGCAGGGGGUGCGUCACCUGAGUGGGUUGAUUCACUGUUGUGGUCAUCCUGUCUGGGUUGGCGCCCCCCCCACCCCCUUUGGUUGUGCCGUGGCGGAGAUCUUUGUGGGCUAUACUCAGCCUUGUCUCAGGAUGGUAUGUUGGUGGUUGAAGAUAUCCCUCUAGUGGUGUGGGGGCUGUGCUUUGGCAAAGUGGGUGGGGUGUUAUAUCCUUCCUGUUUGGCCCUGUCCGGGGGUGUCCUCGGAUGGGGCCACAGUGUCUCCUGUCCCCUCCUGUCUCAGCCUCCAGUAUUUAUGCUGCAGUAGUUUGUGUCGGGGGGCUAGGGUCAGUUUGUUAUAUCUGGAGUACUUCUCCUGUCCUAUUCGGUGUCCUGUGUGAAUCUAAGUGUGCGUUCUCUAAUUCUCUCCUUCUUUAUUUCUCUCUCUCGGAGGACCUGAGCCCUAGGACCAUGCCCCAGGACUACCUGACAGGAUGACUCCUUGCUGUCCCCAGUCCACCUGGCCAUGCUGCUGCUCCAGUUUCAACUGACCUGAGCCCUAGGACCAUGCCCCAGGACUACCUGACAUGACUCCUUGCUGUCCCCAGUCCACCUGGCCAUGCUGCUGCUCCAGUUUCAACUGACCUGAGCCCUAGGACCGUGCCCCAGGACUACCUGACAUGACGACUCCUUGCUGUCCCCGGUCCACCUGACUGUGCUGCUGCUCCAGUUUCAACUGUUCUGCCUUGUUAUUAUUCGACCAUGCUGGUCAUUUAUGAACAUUUGAACAUCUUGGCCAUGUUCUGUUAUAAUCUCCACCCGGCACAGCCAGAAAAGGACUGGCCACCCCACAUAGCCUGGUUCCUCUCUAGGUUUCUUCCUAGGUUUUGGCCUUUCUAGGGAGUUUUUCCUAGCCACCGUGCUUCUACACCUACAUUGCUUGCUGUUUGGGGUUUUAGGCUGGGUUUCUGUACAGCACUUUGAGAUAUCAGCUGAUGUACGAAGGGCUAUAUAAAUACAUUUGAUUUGAUUUGGAAACCUGUUAGACUACCCAAGACUCGCAGCUUUAAUCGCUUCUGCCAAAGGUGAUUCUAAUAUAUUGACACAGGGUUGUUGAAUACUUAUGUAAUCAAGAUAUAUUUGUUUUUCUUUCAUAUUUUUUUUUUUAUUAUAAUUUUUUUUACAAAUGUUAGAAUUUUUCUCCCACUUUGACCAUGUAGAGUAUUUUGGUAGAUAUUUGACAUAAAAAUCCAAUCAAAUCCAUUUUAAUCCCAAUAUGUAACACAACAAAAUGUGGAAAAAGUCAAGGGGUGCUAAUACUUUAUGAAGGCACUAUAUGUUUCCACGCUAUGAGGUUGGAAUGCAAUUUUUUUUUAAUCUAGCUUAAACUGACACUUUUUGAUGGGGAUUUUUUGUAAUGUAACAUUUACACACUGGUUGACUAAAGGGGUUAACUAUUUAGCAGUUUCAUAGCUUGGGGUUGGAAGCUGUUCAGGGCCGGUUGGUUCCAGACUCGGGGCAUCGGUACCGCUUGCCGUCAGGUAGAAGUGAAAAUAGUCCAUAACUUUGGUGGCUGGAGUCUUUGACAAUUUUUAUGGCCUUCCCCUGUUCUUACAUCUACUUUUAUAGAAGGGAGGGGAGAGGAGAUUAGCAGCGUCAUCGUUACUGGCUUACCAUCAGGGCGUUUGUUACACGCAGCGGCCGCCGCCGCCGCUACUGCCGAUUGCUACUACUGCCGAUUGCUACUACUGCCGAUUGCUACUACUGCCGAUUGCUACUACUGCCCAUGCUACUACUGCUACCUCUCUAUGCUACACGUACAUACACAGAUACAUAGACGUUACCUCUGAACGGGACGGACUGUCUGCUCCUUCGGACACUUCGGCCCAUCCGGUACGUUUGGCUGGCCUCCCCGUGUGAUUGCACCAAGGUCUUGCACUGAGUUCUUGUGGACAAGUGGUGCCAGGGUCACUCUGACCCUGCCCAGACAGAGGGGAACAACUCGUAACACAGGGCCAGGGUCACUCUGACCCAGCCCAGACAGUGGUAGGAGGGUUACAACAUACACCUUGCUAACGCUGCCAGGGUCACUCUGACCCCAGCGUCCGGGACAGAGGGGAACAACUCAUAACACAGGGCCCACACGGGGCCCAACGUACUGCCCUGACCCGGCCCAGACAGGGGUAGGAGGGUUACAACAUACACCUUGCUAACGCUGUCAGGGUCACUCUGACCCACACAGACACGGGGGAUCAACUCGUAACGCUGCCCGGGGUCACUCUGACGUCACUAUGACCCCACCCACACAGGGGUAGGAGGGUUACAACAUACACCUUGCUGUUUGACUAGUAUCCACCAGGUGGUAGUGAGGGUCACCAUGACCCGGCCCAGACAGGGGUUGGAGGGUUACAACAUACACCUUGCUAACGCUGCCAGGGUCACUCUGACCCACAAAGACACGGGGAAUCAACUCGUAACGCUGCCCGGGGUCACUCUGACCUGCCGAGACAACGGGAGGGUUAAAAUAGUGAACAGUUAUAAUCGUAGUGUUAUGUGGCCGUCACUAUGUUAUGUGGUCGUCCUAGUAUAUAAUGUGGUCGUCACUAUAAGUGAACGACUACACAAUAUUUAGGAGGAUGACAAAGGAUUAUCAAAUUCAAUUAGUAAAAAGCCAAAAGCAAUGAUUGCGAUCCACUUCCUUUUGUACACCAUGCCAUACUCCAGACUGAGCAUGUGCAGGAUAGGUACUGAAAGUGUAUUGGACACUCUUUAACUGUCUUUCGCGAUUUAAAUAAUACAAUUACAUUGAUUCUAGUAAUGUCAUGGAAGUAAUACUGACAUGUGACUAUAUUAUCUAAGUAUAAUGCAACUGGUUGAAUUAAAAUGUAAAAAGUGUGUUUAUUUCGUAAUUGCAACAUAUACAUAUUAUUUAAUAUUAAACCCGAUCGAACUUGUUUUGCAUCAACUGAAAACAUUAGUCCGUAACUCUGCCAAGCCUACAAGCAAAGAUGAACUGGUGAAGGCCAUCAAGAUGUUUUGGCUUGAGAAAUUGACAAUACAACAAUGCAACAAAUACAUUGAUCAUCUCAGCAAGGUUUUACCCAUGGUCAUAGAGCUGGGGGGGAAGAGCAACUAAAAUGUAGUUUAAAUAAACAUAUGCAUUUUGAAAGUAUUUUUUCUCGUUAUUUUAUUAACAAAACAUAAAGCUGUAGAUGAAGAAAUACUGUACAGCAUAUGCUUUAUCCCACAUUUUGUGGUUGCAUGAGGUUUUGAGUUAGAAAUGUAACACUUUAGAGUACUUAAGCAUCGAAUACAUUGCAAGUUGGGGGGAUUUUCACACCUACAGUACAGUAGCUGGGCUAUGGAGAGUCUAUUAUCCUACUAAUAGGAAACAUUGUUUGCAUGAUGGGCUACACCUGCUAAAACACUACAGUACACUUGUGAAAAACAGAUGUUCGAAAACAUGUUUUCAAAAUGCCUCCAGCUGUCCAUCACUACUGUAAAUAAAAACACAGAAUCUUG
Oncorhynchus keta (chum salmon) is the source of this 5093-nucleotide long non-coding RNA. RefSeq lists it as uncharacterized. The record is from RefSeq and is a predicted model, not a curated record. The transcript has 2 exons. Lineage: Eukaryota; Metazoa; Chordata; Actinopteri; Salmoniformes; Salmonidae.